AAGUCGUAACAAGGUUUCCGUAGGUGAACCUGCGGAAGGAUCAUUAAUGGAGACAUGCUGCUCUUGAGUGGCAAUCGCCCAUCCUGUGUUGUGUGCGUGUAUGUGUAUGUGCAUGUGCCUCGGUGCUUGCACAUGUGCUUGUUAACCCAUGUGUUUAAUCAUUCUGAUACAAUUGCUCGCAAGCCCAGCAAUGGGAAGCGACACAACAAUCGAAAACUGCCACCAAUGGAUCACUUGGUUCUC
RNAcentral lists this unclassified non-coding RNA (243 nucleotides) under fungal sp. RNAcentral's name for it is "partial internal transcribed spacer region". The stretch from base 1 to 46 matches the Rfam family "Eukaryotic small subunit ribosomal RNA", at positions 1786 to 1831 of the family's 1831-position model. The record is from RNAcentral. Lineage: Eukaryota; Fungi.